GGGUGUAACUCAAUGGUAGAGUUCCAGCUUCCCAAGCUGGCUACGUGGGUUCGAUUCCCAUCACCC
This 66-nucleotide transfer RNA is filed under the name human gut metagenome. It matches the Rfam family "tRNA". Rfam says of the family: Transfer RNA (tRNA) molecules are approximately 80 nucleotides in length. Their secondary structure includes four short double-helical elements and three loops (D, anti-codon, and T loops). RNAcentral also lists the same sequence under 4 other names. The record is from RNAcentral.